RNAcentral lists this ribosomal RNA (301 nucleotides) under uncultured bacterium. RNAcentral's name for it is "bacterial SSU rRNA". It matches the Rfam family "Bacterial small subunit ribosomal RNA", at positions 505 to 805 of the family's 1533-position model. The record is from RNAcentral.
GUGCCAGCAGCCGCGGUAAUACGUAGGGGGCUAGCGUUAAUCGGAAUUACUGGGCGUAAAGCGUGCGCAGGCGGUUUGUUAAGAUAGGCGUGAAAUCCCCGGGCUCAACCUGGGAACUGCGUUUAUGUCUGGCAGGCUAGAGUAUGGCAGAGGGGGGUGGAAUUCCACGUGUAGCAGUGAAAUUCGUAGAUAUUCGGAGGAACACCGGUGGCGAAGGCAGCCCCCUGGCCCGAUACUGACGCUCAUGCACGAAAGCGUGGGGAGCAAACAGGAUUAGAUACCCUGGUAGUCCACGCCCUAA